UGGGGAAUCUUGCGCAAUGGGCGAAAGCCUGACGCAGCGACGCCGCGUGAGUGAUGAAGGCCUUCGGGUUGUAAAGCUCUGUGGGGAGAGAAGAAUAAAUGCAGGCGAAUACCCUGCACGAUGACGGUAUCUCCUUAGCAAGCACCGGCUAACUCUGUGCCAGCAGCCGCGGUAAGACAGAGGGUGCAAACGUUGUUCGGAAUUACUGGGCGUAAAGCGAGUGUAGGCGGUUCGAUAAGUCGGAUGUGAAAGCCCCGGGCUCAACCCGGGAAGUGCAUUCGAUACUGUCAAGCUAGAGUAUCGGAGAGGUUGGUGGAAUUCUCGGUGUAGAGGUGAAAUUCGUAGAUAUCGAGAGGAACAUCGGUGGCGAAGGCGGCCAACUGGACGAAUACUGACGCUG
Molecule: ribosomal RNA, 400 nt
Filed under: uncultured bacterium
Lineage: Bacteria
Description: bacterial SSU rRNA
Rfam family: Bacterial small subunit ribosomal RNA
Source: RNAcentral